This 253-nucleotide ribosomal RNA is filed under the name uncultured bacterium. Its description in RNAcentral is "partial 16S ribosomal RNA". It matches the Rfam family "Bacterial small subunit ribosomal RNA", at positions 524 to 776 of the family's 1533-position model. The record is from RNAcentral.
UACGUAGGGAGCAAGCGUUGUCCGGAAUCAUUGGGCGUAAAGCGCGCGUAGGUGGCCUCAUAAGUCCGCUGUGAAAGUCAAGGGCUCAACCCUUGGAUGCCGGUGGAUACUGCAGGGCUAGAGUCCGGAAGAGGCGAGUGGAAUUCCUGGUGUAGCGGUGAAAUGCGCAGAUAUCAGGAGGAACACCGAUGGCGAAGGCAGCUCGCUGGGACGGUACUGACGCUGAGGCGCGAAAGCGUGGGGAGCAAACAGG